This 487-nucleotide ribosomal RNA is filed under the name Sipunculus nudus (marine worm). RNAcentral describes it as "partial 16S ribosomal RNA". It matches the Rfam family "Bacterial large subunit ribosomal RNA", at positions 1817 to 2598 of the family's 2925-position model. The record is from RNAcentral. Lineage: Eukaryota; Metazoa; Annelida; Sipuncula; Golfingiida; Sipunculidae. RNAcentral also lists the same sequence under 1 other name.
CGCCUCCUGUCAAAACUAUAGAAGGUCCAACCUGCCCAGUGAACACUUCAACGGCCGCGGUACCCUGACCGUGCUAAGGUAGCGCAAUCACUUGCCCUUUAAUUGGGGGCUAGUAUGAAAGGUCAAACGAGGGUGAAACUGUCUCGCCAAAACAACUAAAAAUUAUCCUACAUGUGAAGAGACAUGUACGCCUAAGAAAGACGAGAAGACCCUGUCAAGCUUUACACCUAACUGCCCACACACCCUCAACCACGCAGAAAAAGUGUUUUGUUGGGGCAACACAGGAAUCAAGCUUCCUCACAACAAUGCUCCCUUCUCUAAAAAAUCCGGCACAACCGAAAAAAGACAGAGCUACUGCAGGGAUAACAGGCUAAUCUGCUUCGAGAGGCCACAUUGACAAGCAGGCUUGGCACCUCGAUGUUGGCUUAGGAAUCCUUGUUGGGGCAGCCCCCAACAAGAGGAGGUUUGUUCAACCUAUAAUCUCCUA